UAAGGUAUGUUCAUUAUGAAAGCUUGGAUAUUUUAUAUUUUUUAAAAGGAAAAUAAGUGAAUUUCUUACUAGUAUUUGAUACCCAAGAAACAUUUUGGGUAUCAGAGUUCCCUCGGGCCUCUAACAUUUCAACCACAUUAGUUCUCACAAAGACAUACUGCCAGUGGGAAGCUGACAUCUAAAGUUCCAAUAACGGGCUACAUAUGGAAACUCUAAACACCAUAUCUUGCCUUCGGAGGGAAGGCAACAACACAUACCCAGUGCAAUCCCACGAGUAGGAUCGGGGUAGGGUAGGAUCUACACAGACCUUACCUGUUACCUUCGGAGGGAAGGCUUAUGUCCAUAUUUUUUUACACUUCAUAGUGCUGAUAUCAUAAUUAUGAUUAGCUUCACACCGUAGAGCUGAAGAAACCUCUAGAAUAGCUCAUUACUUUCCUUCUGAUUAAACUACGUCUUCAGUGGAGCCUUUUUCUCUCUGUCAGAUAUCCGAACAGGAGCAUUAGAAUGUGAUUUGAA
Molecule: unclassified non-coding RNA, 516 nt
Filed under: Hevea brasiliensis (rubber tree)
Lineage: Eukaryota; Viridiplantae; Streptophyta; Magnoliopsida; Malpighiales; Euphorbiaceae
Source: RNAcentral